GACGAACGCUGGCGGCGUGCUUAACACAUGCAAGUCGAACGCUGAAGCUCAGCUUUUGUUGGGUGGAUGAGUGGCGAACGGGUGAGUAACACGUGAGUAACCUGCCCCCUUCUUUGGGAUAACGCCCGGAAACGGGUGCUAAUACUGGAUAUUCACUGGUCUUCGCAUGGGGGUUGGUGGAAAGGGUUUUUCUGGUGGGGGAUGGGCUCGCGGCCUAUCAGCUUGUUGGUGGGGUGAUGGCCUACCAAGGCUUUGACGGGUAGCCGGCCUGAGAGGGUGACCGGUCACAUUGGGACUGAGAUACGGCCCAGACUCCUACGGGAGGCAGCAGUGGGGAAUAUUGCACGAUGGGCGAAAGCCUGAUGCAGCGACGCCGCGUGAGGGAUGGAGGCCUUCGGGUUGUGAACCUCUUUCGCUCAUGGUCAAGCCGCAACAAUGGUUGUGGUGAGGGUAGUGGGUAGAGAAGCGCCGGCUAACUACGUG
RNAcentral lists this ribosomal RNA (483 nucleotides) under uncultured bacterium. RNAcentral's name for it is "partial 16S ribosomal RNA". It matches the Rfam family "Bacterial small subunit ribosomal RNA", at positions 28 to 507 of the family's 1533-position model. The record is from RNAcentral.